CCUGGUUGAUCCUGCCAGUAGCAUAUGCUUGUCUCAAAGAUUAAGCCAUGCAUGUCUAAGUACUCACAGACGGUACAGUGAAACUGCGAAUGGCUCAUUAAAUCAGUUAUGGUUCCUUUUAUCCAAGUAACGUUUGGAACGAUCACUAUGGUAAUUCGAGAGCUAAUACAUGCAAACGAGCACUGACCCAUGCGGGGAUGCGUGCAUUUAUCAGACCGAAACCAAUCCGGGUUCACCCGGCAGCUUUGGUGACUCUAGAUAACAUCGGGCAGAUAGCAGGACCUCAUGACAGUGACGACUCAUUCGAAUGUCUGCCCUAUCAACUUUCAACGAUACUUUCUGUGCCUACCAUGGUGACCACGGGUAACGGGGAAAUCAGGGUUCGAUUCCGGAGAGGGAGCCUGAGAAACGGCUACCAAAUCCAAGGAAGGCAGCAGACGCACAAAUUACCCACUCCUGACUCGGGGAGGUAGUGACGAAAAACAACAAUACAGGACUCUUACGAGGCCCUGAAUUUGGAAUGAGUACACUUUAAAUCCUUUAACGAGGAUCUAUUGGAGGGCAAGUCUGGUGCCAGCAGCCGCGGUAAUUCCAGCUCCAGUAGCGUAUACUAAAGCUGCUGCAGUUAAAAAGCUGGUGGUUGGAUCUUGGGAUCGGGCUGGUGGUCCGCCGCAAGGUGAGCUACCGCCUGCCCCAGCCCCUGCCACUUGGCGCUCCCUUGAUGCUCUUAGCUGAGUGUCCUGGGGGGUCCGAAGGGUUUACUUUGAAAAAUAAAGCAGACUGGACGCCUGAAUACUCCAGCUAGGAAUAAUGGAAUAGGACCCCGGUUCUAUUUUGCUGGUUUUCGGAACUGGGGCCAUGAUUAAGAGGGACGGCCGGGGGCAUUCGCAUUAUGCUGCUACAGGUGAAAUUCAUGGACCGGUGCAAGACAAACAAAAGCGAAAGCAUUUGCCAAGAAUGUAUAACCUUCAGAACAACGCUUGCUCUCGGCUCACUAAAAACCUGCGUGUCGUUGCUAUUUCCAAAUUUGAGUAAUACAAUGCCCUUAAAAGGAGUCAUUUCCUGCUAUUUUCAGAAAAUGUAACUUGGUCUAACACUGCUGCUUGUGUCUCAUCCCACAUCAAGUCAGACUUGUGUCUCAGACUUAAGUGCUUUAGUACACUUUAAUAUUAUUGUUCUAAUCUGAAAAUCUCACCAUGGCCCUUCGCAUCAAUUUCUUCAAGUUUUGGUAGCCCUAAUAUUUCCUCAAGUGCAAUGCUCCUCCACAUGUUCACAAUUUCUUUGCUAUUACCUGGCAGUUGGGGAUGCCAACAGGUACUGUUGAAGGAGCAAUAAUUUCCAAUUGCUUCAUAUCACACAUUGGGAUAUAUAGCUGGUAGAUAUGCUUAUUCUCUGCUUUCUGCCAGACAGCCAAGCUUCUAUCCAUGCUAAUACCUUGCCUCUAACACCUCGUACCCUUACCUCACUCAGUAGCCUCCUGUGCAGCAGUUUGUCAAAGCACAUUUUGAAGUCCAUGCUGCUAGAAUUCCUUGAGGAAGCAAUGAGCAGGUUAGACUAAGGAGAGCCAGUGUAUGUUAUCUAG
This 1582-nucleotide ribosomal RNA is filed under the name Chiloscyllium punctatum (brownbanded bambooshark). Its description in RNAcentral is "bacterial SSU rRNA". The stretch from base 2 to 988 matches the Rfam family "Eukaryotic small subunit ribosomal RNA", at positions 4 to 1116 of the family's 1831-position model. The record is from RNAcentral. Lineage: Eukaryota; Metazoa; Chordata; Chondrichthyes; Orectolobiformes; Hemiscylliidae.